UAGGAGGAAUAUGCCCAGACUUGUUGCAUCCACAGCACUGGAAGGGUGAUUUUAACGCACUGAAGUGCAGCACCUAUUCUGUUUCAGACAGAGGUCACUGUCACCCCCACUGAGAGGGGGAGGACAGGGACCGGGGACAGGACCCUUCAGCACCUCUUUGCUUUGACAAUGGCUCACUUCUGCCCGGCUAAACGGGGAUCUCCUCAUCCUGCUGUCAACUCAUCACUCCCUGUCCAACCAUUAUACCUCUGUCCCUGCACACUGGAUGAAAAAAUCAGCUAACGUUACUCCUGUUUGCACCAAGUAGGGAAAAAAGCAAGAUCAACAUGGAGGGAUGGUGAGAAGUGUGCAAAAAUGGCAUCAAUCAUGUUAUCACAUCUCAGCAGUAACAUUUUAGUUCUACCCAAAGUUUAAAAAAAUCAAAGAAGAAUUUUAAACAGAGGUAACUUUGCUGGAGGUCGGGGAGGAGAGGGAGGGGAGGUUGAUCAUGAGAAAUGGCCCUUUUGCUCCCUCCUGUGGGCAAAGCUGUCCCAUUGGACCGAGUGUCUGUCUUUUCAAUGUAUUUUAUUUAUGAAAGCGACUUUUCUAAAUGAGGCAAAGCUUGAUUCCAGAAAAAGAUAGUGAACAGCAGAAUAUAGCAGUACUGUAAAGUUAAUAUUUUAUCAUUGCGGUAAGAAGUUUUCAGUCAA
Notolabrus celidotus (New Zealand spotty) is the source of this 689-nucleotide long non-coding RNA. RefSeq lists it as uncharacterized. The transcript is spliced from 3 exons. The record is from RefSeq and is a predicted model, not a curated record. NCBI's taxonomy places the organism in Eukaryota, Metazoa, Chordata, Actinopteri, Labriformes, Labridae.